UGGGGAAUCUUGCACAAUGGGGGAAACCCUGAUGCAGCGACGCCGCGUGAGCGAUGAAGGUUUUCGAAUCGUAAAGCUCUGUCCUAUGGGAAGAUAAUGACGGUACCAUGGGAGGAAGCCCCGGCUAACUACGUGCCAGCAGCCGCGGUAAUACGUAGGGGGCGAGCGUUGUCCGGAAUUACUGGGCGUAAAGGGUUCGCAGGCGGCAUGGCAAGUCCGAUGUAAAAGGCGAAGGCUCAACCUUCGUAAGCAUCGGAAACUGUCAAGCUUGAGUGAAGGAGAGGCAAGUGGAAUUCCUAGUGUAGCGGUGGAAUGCGUAGAUAGUAGGAGGAAUACCGGUGGCGAAGGCGACUUGCUGGACUUCAACUGACGCUGAGGAACGAAAGCGUGGGUAGCAAACAGG
This 403-nucleotide ribosomal RNA is filed under the name Fusobacteriota bacterium. RNAcentral describes it as "Fusobacteria bacterium partial 16S ribosomal RNA". It matches the Rfam family "Bacterial small subunit ribosomal RNA", at positions 355 to 776 of the family's 1533-position model. The record is from RNAcentral. Lineage: Bacteria; Fusobacteriati; Fusobacteriota.